UGUGUUUAUUUUAUUUUUUUUCUUCUUUAAAAGACUAAUUAUUUUUUAAUUUGGGGUAGUUUUAAUUUUUUAAUUAUUUUUUUCUUGUUGUAUCUCUCUGUCAGACGCACAUAAUUCUCCUAUUUUUGGUCACCGAUUGCUUUUUUAUUUUGCUUUGCCGAUAAAAAAAUUGCUCAUCAUUGCCGGUUGGCGGCACUAGUAGUUAUUCUGUUUCCAUGUCCGUGAGAAAUUUUUAUUGUGUAACCUUUAUUUAAUUC
Molecule: long non-coding RNA, 257 nt
Filed under: Linum usitatissimum (flax)
Lineage: Eukaryota; Viridiplantae; Streptophyta; Magnoliopsida; Malpighiales; Linaceae
Description: long non-coding RNA (LUSI_LNC002471)
Source: RNAcentral